Molecule: long non-coding RNA, 7135 nt
Filed under: Capsicum annuum
Lineage: Eukaryota; Viridiplantae; Streptophyta; Magnoliopsida; Solanales; Solanaceae
Description: long non-coding RNA (CANN_LNC013037)
Source: RNAcentral
GUUGAUAUGCACCCAUUCAGCUUCUAGUAGAAAACGCGUUUCGAGUUGUGCAUAUAUUGGAUGUGUCAUGUGUAUAUAUUUGUCCCUAUCUGAAAGGUGUUUUGAGCAGUUCAUCAUAGAUAUGCACCCACUUCUGCCUCAAAACUCUCUUUGCUCCUCUUUAUACAUUGCCUUGCACACUGCAUGCAGCAUUUAUUGUGAGUAGGCUUGUUAUUGCAUUCCACUCAUUCUUGUCUUUGAACCUCUCUGUGUGUCCUGUUUUUCAUAAUGAAAUAUGCUUGCUUUCACAGUUUCCUCUACUGUUAGUUAUCAUCAGAGUCCACCACCAAUAAUCAUAGUUCUUUGGAAGCCAAGGUCUCCCACCCAACAAAUAAGAUACUCCCUUUCCACCUUUAGUUGUUCCAAGGAUAUCAAGAACGGAAAACAUAUGUGUAAGUGAAAAUGUAGCAAUAAGUUUUUUCUAUACUUUCAAAUUUUCCUAGAUGAGCGUCAUCCUAUCUGACGGAAAGAGUACAUGCCGUCCAAGGUUGCUGGUCCCAGGAAGAUGAAGGACCGGAUAUUCCUACUAGUGACGAGCAAUGAGUCAUCCUACCUAUCAGGAUCAAGUUGGGAUACCAUUUAAGCUCAUAUAUACAUGACAAAACAUUUUUGUCAUGUAUAUAUGAGAUUAAAUAACAUCCCAAUUUGAUGCUGAUGAGUCAUAUGAGUCAAUGCUCAACACUAGUAGGAAUAUCCAGUCUCUCAUCUUCUGAGGACCAGCAACUUUGGACGCCAUGUAUUCUUCAGGUCAGAUAGGGAGAAGUUCUUCCAGGAAGAGUUGAAGUGAUAGAGAUCUGUUGCUACAUUUUCACUCACACAUCAAUAACUUCUCUAGGGGAAGAAACGUCGCGAUCCUCCUUUUCCAUCUCAAGCCAUAUGAAGUCUACAACAAGUAUUCUUUAGAAGAUAACACAUCAGAAGAAGAAAAAAAGUUAUUCAGAAAUUCUUUGGAAUACAACUUGUGUUCUGGAGCUGUACUGAUUCUCUUAGAAAAAAGCACCACCAUAAUUUUAAAUGAUCAUAAUCAUCUGAAGUCACAGAGUAAUCAAAUUCUCCAUUUUGGUCCUUCCUCUUAUGGUUUCCUUAACAAGAUAAGUGAUGUGGAAUUAACUAGCAUGAAUAUUUGGUAUUCACCAAAAGGUGGUCGAAAAUCAUUUUCUCAUUAAUGCUUUGAGUUACUUCACUCCUCUUAGGAAAUAUAUUUCUUAUCACUUUCAAGGCUCACUUUGCUGCUUUCGAAACCAAGCAUUUCAUGCCUCUCAAGUUUCUUGUAAAAUAUCUGCCUAUCUGAUCUUUACAAAUUAAAACCUCGUUUUAUUGUUUUGACGAUAUUCAUCAUUUAACUACAAUUUUGAGCUCAUUACUAUAUCCCUAUGCUCGUUACUCCUAUUAACACCACCAUUCAACUUCUAAGCCUUGUAAUAUCAAGCUGCUGGUAACCAAAAAUAUAAGCGUGCAGUACUUUAGUAAGUUUCUCAUGAUCUAGUUGUUGGUUAUUAUCUUGCCUUCUAGAUCCAUAUACAACAUCAGGUAGCUUUGAUAAUAGGAAAAUUGUGUUAUAUUAAUCUGAUUCUAAUGAAAUCAACAAGAAUGACAAAUAGAUUGAAUGCAUAUAUUUGAUGCGUAAAUUUCUUUUCGUAGGGACUCCAUAGGACAAAAACUGAACUCUUCUUCCUCAUUCAGUGUGUUCUUUGAGUUAACAAUUUUAUGUGAUUUAAUUGUUCCAUUUUUUUCUGCAAAGCUAAUGCCUGCACGAAGGAGAGACACUUGAAGGAACCAAGCAUCAUUGACCGAUAUGGUGAUGCAAAAAGAACUAACAAUUAAUUAGAAGUAUAAAUCAACAUUGUGUGCAGUAUGUCGAUUAUAUAUUGGAGCAUAUUCAAAGGAGUUGGUUACAAUAAAUUGUUAAUAGCUGUUGUAUUUUCUAGAAUAGUAAGAAAUAAAACCUCCUUCUAUAUACUCGAUUAUGAAUGUAAAUUAACAAAAUUCAAGUCACUUGUUUAAUCUAUAAGUUUAAUGAGGUAAUUAGUUCUCAACUUAUACAGAAUAAAGAUGUCUCGUAUAUAAAAGAACUGCCAUGGGCUCAACUAAUGACCAGAUACUAACAAAACAAUCUUUACAAUUAAGUUGUAGUAAAAUUUAAGGUUCUCUAUGACAUGUGUUCCUAUGACGGCAAAACUGAAGACCUACAAAGUGGACAAGAUGUCUUCCCCUUCAGCAGCCAUUGCUUUAUGCAGCUUGCGUGGUAUUCAUGUUGACAUUCAAGAGUGCCAAUUGUCUCAUCAUUCUCGUAUUCGCAUAGGCAAAUAGCACAUGUUUCUCCUCCAUCGUCAGUACUGCAAUGAGUUCUUGUUCUCAUCAUAUUUGCUAUAGUCUCCUCUGCGGCCUCCUCGCCGUGGUCGUUGCGUUCCACCAUAUGGGCCACCAAAAGUUGCAAUAAUUCUAUCAGAAAAGCUCGGUCAUUGUCAUCAUCGGUGAAUCCACUUCCAGUUGUGUCAUAGUCUUCGUCAGAGAAUUCACUUUCAGUUGUGUCAUAAUCUUCGUCAGAGGAUUCACUUUCAGUGGUGUGAUAGAUAUCAUCAACGAAUUCACCUGUUGACAGAUUAUAGACGCCAUCCCUCAAGUCUGGAUCCUCAGCGUGAUCAAACCAAAUCUGUCCAGUAUAUGUAUAUCCAGGAUCCAUAAGAGGUGAGUUGCCUGGAGCAAAGCAGUGAUAAUUUCCUAGAGCUUGAUGUUGAUCAAUGGAUUCAAUUCCAUCUACAACAUAGACACCAUCAAUGAAUUCACCCGCUGGCUGAUUAAAACCACCGUGUGGAUAAUCAAUGUAAUCAAACGAACUGUGUCCAUUAUAGGUAUGAUGACUUUGGGAAUUUGUACUGACGAUAAAAGGAAACUGAUCAUCAGCUGCAACAUAGGCAUGAUCAUCAACGUAGUAUCCACUUGUUGGCUGAUAAUAAUAAUAAUAAUAAUACCCUGGGUCAUAAUUCAUUGUUGUAGCAUAGAAAUCCCUCAAGUAUGGAUCCUCAAUGUUAUCAAACCAACUCUGUCCAUCAUUAUACGUAUAUGGAUUUCUUGAAACGUAGUAAUUUACUGGACUUUGAGAAUUUGAACUCAUGAUCGAUGACACUAAAAUACAAGAACAAAUUAAGAGGAACUAAAUUGAUCAAUUGAAGUGAGUUUAACUUUUCUUGGGAGCAAAUAUGGAAUUAAGCGGUAUGAGAAUUGUAGAUUUAUAUAGCUUGGCUAAGACCGCUAAGCAACUACCAUCCCAUUCCUAAAUCAAUCACAAGUAGGAGAAUCACUUAGCCGUCACGUAAUCCUUUUUGUACAAGGAAUAGGAUUAAUAAUAAUAAUAAUAAUAAUAAUAAUAAUAAUAAUAAUAAUAAUAAUAAUAAUAAUAAUUUAUGGAUGUGAAUUUUUAUAGUGAGGUGAUGUUUAUACAAAUAUGUGAUAUUUAAAUCUCAUUAAGUUGUAAUAAAUAAAUGUGCAAAUAAUCUCAUUAAUACAUUGACUCUUUCCAUUGACUCUCAUGAUAAUCUCCAAUUAAAAUUUAUUUUUCGUUUAAAUGAUACUUUUGAAACAUGUGUUUUGCACACUAACAAUAUAUCUCAUUCGUCACAUGAAUUUGUAUCUAUUCAUUUUUAAAUUUGUUAUUUUUUUGAGUAAUAACUUUUCAUCCAUUUAAGAGGAAUAAAAAAGAAGAAGAGAAUUUUAAAAAUCAAAUCAACACUGAAUACAAAAUGGGAGAAUGACUGUUAAAGCCUAAAGGAAACAGAAGAAGAAGAAGGUGAUGAUAGAGAAAAAGAGAAUACAAAAAUGAAUUGUGGAGAGAGAAAAUGACAGUAAAAAGAAAGUUGAAAAAGACAAUAGAUGACGAUUAUAACAAGAAAAAACUUUAAAGUUUGAAACUUUGACUCAAUAAAAAAAGUGAAUUCGAUUAAAUUAAAAUAUUAAUUCAUUAAUAAAAUGGAGAAACACGAUUUUCUUUUCAAAAAAAUCUAUUAAUGAAAAAAUCGUUGCUAUUUAUUACAAUAAAUAAAAGGUAUCAUAAUAAAAAGAUAAUAAUGGAUAUGUAAUAGUCAUCUGUGUCAAAAUUCUUAAAUAAAACUCUUCUACUAGAGUGUUUCCUCAAUAUAUCUCAAAUUUAUUUUCUUUCUUCAACUAUUUUCUUCAUUAUUUUAGAUUUAGUUUGUCAACAAUGAGCAUUAUGAAUUAUAUCUUGACAAAUCAAAAUGAGAAAAAUUGAAACUUAGGAAAACUAGUUACUAAAUUUUGAAUUAUAAACUUAAAAACUAUACCUUUGCAUUAAAAAAACUUAAAAUGAUUUUUGAACUUGAUUGACAUGAUUUUACUUCUUAUAUUUUACUCGGUUAUAGUCUCUACAACUCAUUUUUUUAUAUAAUUAUUUCUUUGUUACAUACACAAAUACUUUUUUAAAAAAAUUAUUUCUUCAUAUUCACCUUACUCCGUUGAUCACUUAUAAUUUUAUAAUUAUUUUACAUGUCAUAGACGAUGUAUUUCACAUAAAUUUGUAUCCGCAUAUUUUUAACUUUUGUUAUUUUUAAUUUUUCUUUUUUCUUGAAUUAAUACAUUACCGCUUUCUGUUGCCUCUCAUUAUAAUCUUCAAUUAAAAAAAUAUUUUUUAUUAAAAAUGAUUUUUCAUUUAAAUGAUACCUUUGAAACACGUGUUUUGCACGUUAACAAUGUAUCUCAUUCCUCACAUGAAUUUGUAUCUAGGCAUUUUUAACUUUAUUUUUUUUUAGUAAUAACUUUUCAUCCAUUUAAGAGAAGUGAGAAAAAAGAAAAAAAAAUUAAAAACCAAACCAACAAUGAAUAGAAAGUGAGAGAAUAAAUGUUAAAGGAAAAAGAAGAAGAAGACGAUGAUAUUGAAAAAGAAAGAAUGAAAAUGAAUGAUGGAGAGAGAAAACGACAGUAAAAAGAAAGUUGGAGAAGACGACAAAAAACGAUUAUAACGAGAAAGAACUUCUAAGUAUGAAACUUUGACUCUACAAAAAAAUGAACUCAGUUAAAUUAAAAUAUUAAUUCAUUAAUAAAAUGAGAAACACGAUCUUUUUUUAAAAAAAAAAGACUAUUAAUGAAAAACUGUUGCCAACUAUUUAUUACAAUAAAUAAAAGGUAUCAUAAUAAAAAGGUAAUAAUAAUGGAUAUAUAAUAGUUUACUUAUGUAAAAAUUCUUAAAGAGAACUUUUCUACUAGAGUGUUUCCUCAAUAUAUCUCAAAUUUGUUUCUUUUCUUCAAUUAUUUUCUUCAAUAUUUUAUAUUUAAUUUGUCAACAAUGAGCAUUAUGAUAUCUAGACAAUCAAAAUGAAAAAAAUUGAAACUUAGCAUACGAAAAUUAUAAACUAAUUUUAUUAUUAUUAUUAUUAUUAUUAUGAAUAUACUUUAAAUGCACAGGAUAUGAAUAACAUGAUAAUAAUUGAGUAAUGACUUAAAUGGAACUACGAUUUUAUUUAAUUUCAUAAGAUAUACAAGAGAUAUUGCAAUUGAAUCUAUUUUUUAUUUUUUACAUGUCUAAUUAAAUUUGUUGUUUUUUACAUGUCUAAUUAAAUUUGUUGAAUUAUAAUUGUAUGUAAAAUGUACUAGCUAGACAUGUAAUAUAUAUUCAAAGAAAAAGUUUUAACUCAAAGUUUAUAUAAGCAAUUCUAAUCAUGAUCAAAAGUCGUUAUAGUAAUAACGUUUGUUUGAAAAUUUAUGGAUGUGAAUUGUUAUAGUGAGGUGAUGUUUUUACAAAUAUGUGAUAUUUAUAUCUCAUUAAGUUGUAAUAAAUAAAUGUGCAAAUAAAUUAGUUUUUUUUGUGUGUGUAUCAUGAAAGAGUAUAAAUGAAAAAAAAAAAAAAAUGCUCAUAUAAAAACGCCAGUUAAAUAUAUUUCUUUGGUUAGAUAGUCGCUUGAUAUUUAUUAUAUGCACGACAUAAUAUAUUCUAGUUGCAACUCGUUAGUUUUAUUCCAAAAAUUAUUUACUUACAAUUUUAUAACCUUUUUGCUUUUUUAUCAAAUCAAACAUAAAAACUUUUUCAUGUUCUACCUUUUUUCCUGACAAAAGGGUCAAAUUUGUCUUUCUAUUUUAAAAAAUUGGUUAAAUAUAUCUCAUAUUUUAGGGUCAAAUUUAUCCGUAUUAUCAUAUUUUGGAAUCAAAUUUAUCCUUUUUUUAAUUUUGGGGUUGAUUCAGGUUUCUGAUCAAUCAGUUCACAAAAUUUGAAAUUUGAACAUAUUACUGAACAGAAAUAGAGUUUGUACUAAAAAUUUUCUCUAGUUCCAUACUUCUGUGUUAUUUUAUUUAGUUCGUUGGUAAAAUAGCGCUUCACUGUAAUACAACGUAUGUCAAUUAUUUUCUGAGAUAUGUACUGGAUCCAUACUGAUUCUCAUAGAAGUUUUACAAAGCACUGACCAAUGAUUUUAAAUUAUCCGAAGUCAGAGUCUCAUAUAGAGUGAUAAAUAAAAUACUCCAUGUCUCUCUUUCGUCUUAUGGUUUCCUUAACACAAGAUGAGUGAUAGGGAAUUAAUUCUUCAGGCACUUCAAAAUGCAAUUACAUGAGUUAACCUUGAAAACAAGUAAGUGAUUCUACACCCACUUUAAAAUACGUACUUACUAAAAAUUACCAUGAAGACCUUGGCAGCCUAUAACACAACAUAGAGAACAUGAAAAGGGACAAUUCGGUACAGUAAACAACAUAGAGCACAUGAAGUAAUACUCUUAGGUAGCCAUAUCAAUAGAGAACAUGGCAGAAUAAUGUACCAUGAACCAGGAGGUAGUCAUGUGAAACUCAAGGGAACUAUAAAACCUAAACGACCACUCAUGAAAUUAUACAAUUCAUGACUGUUUAUUUGGUAUAUGCUUGAUUAUGAAUGUAAAUUAACAAUUCAGCACUUGUCUAUUCUGUAAGUUUGAUGAGGUAAGUUCUCAACAUAUACAGAUCGAGUAAAGAUGUCUCGUAUAGAAAAGAACUGCAAUGGGCUCAACUAAUGACCAGAUACUAAUAAAAACAAUCUUUACAAUUAAGUUGUAGUAAAAGUUAAGGUUCUCUAUGACAUGUGUUCCUAUGACGGCAAAACUGAAGACCUACACAGUGGACAAG